This 253-nucleotide ribosomal RNA is filed under the name uncultured bacterium. Its description in RNAcentral is "partial 16S ribosomal RNA". It matches the Rfam family "Bacterial small subunit ribosomal RNA", at positions 524 to 776 of the family's 1533-position model. The record is from RNAcentral.
UACGGAGGGAGCUAGCGUUAUUCGGAAUUACUGGGCGUAAAGCGCACGUAGGCGGCUUUGUAAGUUAGAGGUGAAAGCCCAGGGCUUAACCCUGGAAUUGCCUUUAAGACUGCAUCGCUUGAAUUGUGGAGAGGUGAGUGGAAUUCCGAGUGUAGAGGUGAAAUUCGUAGAUAUUCGGAAGAACACCAGUGGCGAAGGCGACUCACUGGACACAUAUUGACGCUGAGGUGCGAAAGCGUGGGGAGCAAACAGG